RNAcentral lists this ribosomal RNA (497 nucleotides) under uncultured bacterium. RNAcentral describes it as "partial 16S ribosomal RNA". It matches the Rfam family "Bacterial small subunit ribosomal RNA", at positions 28 to 507 of the family's 1533-position model. The record is from RNAcentral.
GAUGAACGCUGGCGGCGUGCCUAAUACAUGCAAGUCGAGCGAACUUUUGGGAGCUUGCCCCCUAUAGCUAGCGGCGGACGGGUGAGUAACACGCGGGUAACCCCUCUCUAAGACUGGGAUAACUUUGGGAAAACGGAGCUAAUACCGGAUAACAUUUAAUAACACAUGGCCUUCAAUAAAAAGGUGGCGUUUUGCUGCCACUUAUAGAUGGACCCGCGCCGCAUUAGCUAGUUGGUGAGGUAACGGCUUACCAAGGCGACGAUGCGUAGCCGACCUGAGAGGGGGACCGCCAACCUUGGAACUGAGCCACGCCCCAGACCCUUCGGGGAGGCAGCAGAGGGGAACUUCCGCAAAUGGGCGAAGGCUUGCGGGAGAACGCCGGGGGGAGUGAGGAAGGCUUCCGGUCGUAAAGCUCUUUUGUUAGGGGAGGACAAGUAUCGUACGAAUAUGGCGGUGCCUUGACGGUACCUAAUCAGAAAGCCACGGCUAACUACGUG